This 474-nucleotide ribosomal RNA is filed under the name uncultured soil bacterium. RNAcentral describes it as "bacterial SSU rRNA". It matches the Rfam family "Bacterial small subunit ribosomal RNA", at positions 26 to 518 of the family's 1533-position model. The record is from RNAcentral.
AGGACGAACGCUGGCGGCGUGCUUAACACAUGCAAGUCGAGCGGAAAGGCCACUUCGGUGGUACUCGAGCGGCGAACGGGUGAGUAACACGUGAGUAAUCUGCCCUCCACUUUGGGAUAGCCACCGGAAACGGUGAUUAAUACCGGAUAUGACCUUGGCCCGCAUGGGUUGUGGUGGAAAGUUUUUCGGUGGGGGAUGUGCUCGCGGCCUAUCAGCUUGAUGGUGGGGUAAUGGCCUACCAUGGCUUCGACGGGUAGCCGGCCUGAGAGGGUGACCGGCCACACUGGGACUGAGACACGGCCCAGACUCCUACGGGAGGCAGCAGUGGGGAAUAUUGGACAAUGGGCGAAGCCUGAUCCAGCAACGCCGCGUGAGGGAUGACGGCCUUCGGGUUGUAAACCUCUUCAGCACAGACGAAGCGAAAGUGACGGUAUGUGCAGAAGAAGCACCGGCCAACUACGUGCCAGCAGCCGC